UACGGAGGAUGCAAGCGUUAUCCGGAUUUAUUGGGCGUAAAGCGUCCGCAGGUGGCUAUUCAAGUCUGCUGUCAAAGCUCGGAGCUUAACUCCGAAUCGGCGGUGGAAACUGAACAGCUAGAGUGCAGUAGGGGUAGAGGGAAUUCCCAGUGUAGCGGUGAAAUGCGUAGAGAUUGGGAAGAACACCGGUGGCGAAAGCGCUCUACUGGACUGCAACUGACACUCAGGGACGAAAGCUAGGGGAGCGAAUGGG
RNAcentral lists this ribosomal RNA (253 nucleotides) under uncultured bacterium. RNAcentral describes it as "partial 16S ribosomal RNA". It matches the Rfam family "Bacterial small subunit ribosomal RNA", at positions 524 to 776 of the family's 1533-position model. The record is from RNAcentral.